UUUCCCUCUGGAGCAGUUGCGAGAAGAAACCCGCAAGCCCGUCUUUGACCAAGUGAGAGAUGGUCAACAACUCCACCCGAAUGUCGCACUUUCAUAUGUCUAUUUUACAAUUGGCUAUAUGCACGGUUACUUCCUGGUUUAGAUAAGCCAGCUCGGGCAUUUCCGGUCAACUGUCAUUCCUGAAACAAAUGUCAAAGAUGUUCUAUACUCGCUGCCCGCAGGAUCUACCUCGAGUCAACAUAAAUGAUGUACACCGCCUGAUUCAGUCAAAUUCAAAGACUUCAUCGAGCAAACAUGAAAAGGGAUUUAAGCUGUACAUAUCAAGCUAUAUCCAUGACUACGAAGGUAAGUUAGCAAAGUACGCUAUAAUUCUUUCGUUCUGUAAGCUAGCUAUAGACAGCUAACUUGGCUAACGUUGUUGAACGUAAGUUAGCUACUGUUAAGUUGAAAGACCAACGUUAGCUUAACGUUAGCAUUGGUAAACAGAAUAUAACCGCUAAGUUGGCAGCAUUUAGAUAUGUAGAUCUGUCUCCUGCUACUCUCCUUGACAUAACCAGGCUUGGGACUAGGAUAACAUUUUGUCUUGCUAUGUGGUCCUUCCUUAAUUCAUUGCCUCUGUUUCUCAGUUUCUGAUAAGAAUGUGGCAGGAGAGGUGUCUGUGAGAGUAGAGGCAGGUUGUUCUCAAAGACUAUUAACCUGUUGAGCUGUUGGCCUGUCAUUGCUGGGUUUGCACUAUGCAAUCAUGUUGUAGAUUUGCUCAAACAGACCUCACAUUACAGCCAGGAGGGAGUAACGGCUGUCCCCCUACUCACAGCUGCACAGGGUCUGAGCAGCAGUGGCAUAAACCUAGAACCCAGGGCUUUAAGCCUGGUCCAACAAAUGAGAUUGUGGUGUUGUCAGCUAGGCCCAAGGAGAGGAUUGGCUGAAGGGAUCAGGAGUAACUUGUACAACGGGCCUGUGACCAGACCUGUGACCUUCCAGACAUGUCAGUUCUGCGUGUGAAUGAGAUUAACCGAGGAAUGCCAAGGGAAACUGCUCCACCCACAACAACAAUGGGAAUAGCAUUUAUUGAAUUGUUUAUUCAAAGAAUAUUCAGAGAUGGGAGAGUCAUAAAAACAAUCAAACAAAAGGUUGAUUACUUUUACCUACCUAUGCUUUUGGCUUGAAAAUUUCCAUGGUUAACUUUCAAUCUGUUUUUUACAAAGUUCAAAUAGUUUGGUUUUCAUGUGUUCACUAUUGUCAUCUGCCACAAAUAUAUUCUAAUACAAUAAAAUUCUAGUAUACAAAUUAUGUUAUGUAGUUGAACAGGUCAUCAUUAAUUUAUUAAAAUUACAUAUUUUCCAAUAAAUGUUAUUUAUGUGAGUGUUUGAGGUUAUAACGUAUUAGUACCUAAAAUUAGUAUUAUUUAAAUGCUGUUUGUAAUGGUCACAAUAAAAUACACAAUGCUUUGGGGAGCCAAUUAAAAAGGCAGUUACAAACAAAUGUAGGUUUAUUCACUGGAAGCAUGAAACUGAAAAUGAGGGGAAAAUACAGAUCCCUGUAUGAAGUUGUAGAGAUGUAAAUCCAUUCUUUAUCAUUGAACAAAAGCAGUAGCUAACAACAGUAAAAUAGUUUAAAUACUAAACAGAACUGCGCACUGGUCUUGAUGCAUCUUUUUAGAGCAGGGGUUCUCAACCUUUUGCA
Molecule: long non-coding RNA, 1683 nt
Organism: Xyrauchen texanus (razorback sucker)
Lineage: Eukaryota; Metazoa; Chordata; Actinopteri; Cypriniformes; Catostomidae
Exons: 4
Source: RefSeq, a predicted model, not a curated record